AACUACAACUAGUAUAACACAUAAUUCAUCAACCCAUGACACUAUUACCUACAAGUGGGUUUACAUAACAACAUCAAAUUAAUCUGAAUUUCAUGCAUAAUUCAAGUCUCAUAUAGCCUCUUACCAUCCUAAUUUCAUACAUACACAUGGAUGAAUCAAGACCCACUUCCUUUCUCACCAAAAUUUCAUGAAUCCAUGACUUACCUUACCUCAAGGACACUUAGACAAGUGUAGAUGAUGUCUCAUGCACUCGAUUUCCAGCUCAAAUCACCCCAAUUUAUGCAGAAUUCUUGUGUUGAUGAUGAUUUAGGAAUCACCCAAAUCCGGCCAGUGAACGGUUCGGAACGGCGGUUUAACGUUUAACCCGAAGUCGGUGAACCUCGUAGAUAGAACCCGAAUCUUGAACCUCACGACCAUUAGAAUGAUUAGUGAGUUGGCUCAAGCUCCGUUUCUACUGGUUUGAAGGCAAUGAGUGUAAAAGAGUUGAAAGAAAGUUGGAAAUCCUUCUUUCAAUCCUUCACAUCAUGUAAAUGUUUAGAUCUUUGAUAGAUCUUAGCUUGUUUAUGUGGAAAUCGGUUAGAUCCGAACUAUUCAUGGUGGAUUGAAGCCAAAACAUGAUGUUCUUGAAGAACACCAUGAUGACAUCAUCCAAGAAUGUUUAGAUCUUGGUGAUUUCACGGUUAGAAAUCAAGAUUUGAAAGAUAGAAAGGUGUAGGAGCAUGUUUUGAUCAAGAAAGUACAAGAUUUAGGAUGAAAACUUACCGGAAUCGGAAGAAAUCUGAGAAAAGGAGGGGAGCACGAGCUGGUCAGUCAGAGCUUUCCAAAAGUGGUAAAGAGUGACAAUGACAGCCCUAUUUAUAGGCUCCAAAAGAGGAAAGGGUUGGCCGAUCGGCCAGGCUUCCCCGAUCGGACAGCCUGCUCGAUCGAACAGCCUGUUCGAUCGGCUGGGCUGUUCGAUCGGCUGAUAGCCUGAUCGAUCAACAGCCUGGUUCGAGGGUUCGGUGCGACGAUUUUCGAUAUUUCGAUUUCGAUUGAAGAUGAUACGAGACCUUAGGUACAUUUGGGAGCUUGCACAGGGAGGAGCAGGUCGUUGUGGGACAUGGAUCGAGGAUUCCAUGUUAAACAUUUAAACAUUUGAACUAAUGAUUUACAUUGGGUUUACAUACCUAUGCUUCUGCUACACUUUGAAGCUAUACUUAUGUUUUGAACACCUAUCGUAUUGAAUGACUGGUUUGCAUUUACUUUUACUUGUUAUUAAUUACAUGUUCGGUAUGAUUGGUGGCUUGAUCCUGGUCAUGUCACGCCUCCAAGCGGUGUUACUCCGUGUGUGGAUUUUGGGGGUGUGACACGUAUAGCAACAACCAAAGUUCGUGUAAUUCGAGAUUCGAGUUCGAUGAUAGUUAGAUCGGUUUGAUUACUGAUUAGUUAACUUUAUCGCAUUAUUACUUCCUACUAUUCACAGUCGUAAGUCGGUUCGCGUCGAUCAAACAUUCGAUUACUUCGAUUCUUUCUUGAUUACAACACUUACUCCACAUAAUACAAAUAAAACAUAAAGUCGACUAUAUACAGUCAAAGAAAGUCAAAGUUGACUUGGACUUUGACUUUGACUUUGACAUCCGAAAACACGGGGUGUUACAUUCAUACUUACCAUUUUCCUCGGAUUGGGAAGGACACUUGUAGAUACAACUAGUCUAGUACAUACAACAUGGGAAGCCCCCACUUAUUAUUGUAUAGGUCUGGGAACAAAGAUACUGGGUAACGCGUGGUUAUGAAACGAACUUACAACUUCUGAAAUGAACUCAUUAACUGAGCAAUCAACUGUGAACUCGCUCAACUUUGUGGUUGACUCUCUGUUACAUGCCUUGCAGGACGUUAGGUACUCAUGGAGCUUGCACUGGGAGGCGCAGUCGUUGUGGGACAUGGACAGUGGAUGCCAUGUUAAGACAUUAUAACAUUUUCGAACUUAAUACUUAUGUUGGGUUUUCAUAUUUAUGCUUCCGCUAAACACUUAACUAUGUUUUGAUUUGAACACAUUUUAUAUUGAUGGGUUAAACUU
Molecule: long non-coding RNA, 2056 nt
Filed under: Helianthus annuus (common sunflower)
Lineage: Eukaryota; Viridiplantae; Streptophyta; Magnoliopsida; Asterales; Asteraceae
Description: hypothetical non coding rna
Source: RNAcentral